This 173-nucleotide ribosomal RNA is filed under the name Sungouiella pseudointermedia. RNAcentral's name for it is "[Candida] pseudointermedia partial large subunit ribosomal RNA". The record is from RNAcentral. Lineage: Eukaryota; Fungi; Ascomycota; Pichiomycetes; Serinales; Metschnikowiaceae.
AAGGGCUUGCAAGCAGACACGGCCUUCGUGCCGGGCCAGCAUCGGUUGCUAGGGGUGGAUAAGGAACAAGGAAUGUAGCUCCUCGGAGUAUUAUAGCCUUGCGCGAUACACCCACUGGCGACCGAGGCCUGCGGUAUUCCUACCUAGGAUGCUGGCGUAAUGGUUGCAAGCCG